Molecule: ribosomal RNA, 237 nt
Filed under: uncultured Pseudomonas sp.
Lineage: Bacteria; Pseudomonadati; Pseudomonadota; Gammaproteobacteria; Pseudomonadales; Pseudomonadaceae
Description: partial 16S ribosomal RNA
Rfam family: Bacterial small subunit ribosomal RNA
Source: RNAcentral
UGCCUAGGAAUCUGCCUGGUAGUGGGGGACAACGUUUCGAAAGGAACGCUAAUACCGCAUACGUCCUACGGGAGAAAGCAGGGACCUUCGGGCCUUGCGCUAUCAGAUGAGCCUAGGUCGGAUUAGCUAGUUGGUGAGGUAAUGGCUCACCAAGGCGACGAUCCGUAACUGGUCUGAGAGGAUGAUCAGUCACACUGGAACUGAGACACGGUCCAGACUCCUACGGGAGGCAGCAGC